Molecule: ribosomal RNA, 460 nt
Filed under: uncultured bacterium
Lineage: Bacteria
Description: partial 16S ribosomal RNA
Rfam family: Bacterial small subunit ribosomal RNA
Source: RNAcentral
CCUACGGGAGGCAGCAGUGAGGAAUAUUGGUCAAUGGCCGGAAGGCUGAACCAGCCAUGCCGCGUGAAGGUCAGUGCCCUAUGGGCGUUAAACUUCUUUUGUGCGGGAGCAAUAAUGGUCACGUGUGGCCAGACGAGAGUACCGUACGAAUAAGCAUCGGCUAACUCCGUGCCAGCAGCCGCGGUAAUAAGGGGGAUGCAAGCGUUAUCCGGGUUUAUUGGGUUUAAAGGGUGCGUAGGCUGUGAGGUAAGGCAGCGGUGAAAUGCCUGCGCUCAACGGGGUGAAUUGCCAUUGAUACUGCCAUGCUGGAAUGCGGAUGCGGUGGGAGGAAUGUGUGGUGUAGCGGUGAAAUGCAUAGAUAUCACGAAGAACACCGAUUGCGAAGGCAUCUCACGAAUCCGCGAUUGACGCUGAUGCACGAAAGCGUGGGUAUCAAACAGGAUUAGAUACCCGUGUAGUC